CGCGUAGGCGGCUUGGUAAGUCAGGCGUGAAAGCCCUCGGCUCAACCGGGGAACUGCGUUUGAUACUGCCAGGCUUGAGUACCGGAGGGGGUGGCGGAAUUCCGGGUGUAGGAGUGAAAUCCGUAGAUAUCCGGAGGAACACCGGUGGCGAAGGCGGCCACCUGGACGGUAACUGACGCUGAGGCGCGAAAGCGUGGGGAGCAAACAGGAUUAGAUACCCUGGUAGUCCACGCGGUAAACGAUGGAUGCUAGGUGUCGGGGGGCGACUUCCGGCGCCGGAGCCAACGCAUUAAGCAUCCCGCCUGGGGAGUACGGUCGCAAGGCUGAA
This 328-nucleotide ribosomal RNA is filed under the name uncultured bacterium. Its description in RNAcentral is "bacterial SSU rRNA". It matches the Rfam family "Bacterial small subunit ribosomal RNA", at positions 568 to 898 of the family's 1533-position model. The record is from RNAcentral.